RNAcentral lists this long non-coding RNA (474 nucleotides) under Sorghum bicolor (sorghum). RNAcentral describes it as "long non-coding RNA (SBIC_LNC002804)". The record is from RNAcentral. Lineage: Eukaryota; Viridiplantae; Streptophyta; Magnoliopsida; Poales; Poaceae.
CAUUUAAAUUUAGCACUUAAAUAAUUUUUGUUGAGAAUAAAAUUCAUCAUAAGUUUAAUAACGUAGAUUGGGCAUCCAUGCUGGAGCAUCUUUAUUUAAUUGUGCUGCUGGCAUUUGUUGGGGUUUAUUUGCUCUCAAAAUUCUAUUUAAAAAGUCUUUGGAAAAAUGUUUUGGAAAAGAAUUGAAAAAAAAAAUAAAAAGAAAAGGAGAGGAGCCCCUGGAAAUCAGGCCGCAGCCCAGCCAAACCCCCCCUCUCCCCUCCCUUCUCGGCUGGGCUUGGCCCAGUUUUUUUCCCCCUCGGCCCAGUUUCCCCCGCAGCCAGCCGAGCGGCCCAGCUCGCCAGGCAGCGGCGCUCUCUCUCUUCCCUCUCUGGCCGAGAGCUGGGGCCGUUCCCUUCUCUCACCGACAGCUGGGCCCCACGCGUCAGCCUCCUCUCUCACCUUCUUUCUUCUCCAGCGCGUCACCGAGCCGAGG